GGAGAGGUGGCUGAGUGGCCGAAAGCGCCCGUUUGCUAAAUGGGUAUACCCCAAAAGGGUAUCGUGGGUUCGAAUCCCAUCCUCUCCGCCA
This 91-nucleotide transfer RNA is filed under the name bacterium. RNAcentral's name for it is "tRNA-Ser". It matches the Rfam family "tRNA". From Rfam's summary of the family: Transfer RNA (tRNA) molecules are approximately 80 nucleotides in length. RNAcentral also lists the same sequence under 4 other names. The record is from RNAcentral.